UCCUGACUGACCGAUAGUGAACCAGUACCGUGAGGGAAAGGCGAAAAGAACCCCUGUGAGGGGAGUGAAAUAGAACCUGAAACCGUGUACGUACAAGCAGUAGGAGCACCUUCGUGGUGUGACUGCGUACCUUUUGUAUAAUGGGUCAGCGACUUAUAUUCAGUGGCAAGGUUAACCGUAUAGGGGAGCCGUAGCGAAAGCGAGUCUUAACUGGGCGCUCAGUCUCUGGAUAUAGACCCGAAACCGGGUGAUCUAGCCAUGGGCAGGUUGAAGGUUGAGUAACAUCAACUGGAGGACCGAACCGACUAAUGUUGAAAAAUUAGCGGAUGACUUGUGGCUAGGGGUGAAAGGCCAAUCAAACUCGGAGAUAGCUGGUUCUCCCCGAAAGCUAUUUAGGUAGCGCCUCGGACGAAUACUACUGGGGGUAGAGCACUGUUAAGGCUAGGGGGUCAUCCCGACUUACCAACCCUUUGCAAACUCCGAAUACCAGUAAGUACUAUCCGGGAGACACACGGCGGGUGCUAACGUCCGUCGUGGAGAGGGAAACAACCCAGACCGCCAGCUAAGGUCCCAAAGUAUUGCUAAGUGGGAAACGAUGUGGGAAGGCUCAGACAGCUAGGAUGUUGGCUUAGAAGCAGCCAUCAUUUAAAGAAAGCGUAAUAGCUCACUAGUCGAGUCGGCCUGCGCGGAAGAUGUAACGGGGCUAAGCAAUACACCGAAGCUGCGGCAAUGUCUUUUAGAUAUUGGGUAGGGGAGCGUUCUGUAAGCCGUUGAAGGUGAAUCGUAAGGUUUGCUGGAGGUAUCAGAAGUGCGAAUGCUGACAUGAGUAACGACAAAGGGGGUGAAAAACCUCCUCGCCGGAAGACCAAGGGUUCCUGUCCAACGUUAAUCGGGGCAGGGUGAGUCGACCCCUAAGGUGAGGCCGAAAGGCGUAAUCGAUGGGAAACGGGUUAAUAUUCCCGUACUUCUGACUAUUGCGAUGGGGGGACGGAGAAGGCUAGGUGGGCCAGGCGACGGUUGUCCUGGUUCAAGUGCGUAGGCUUGAGAGUUAGGUAAAUCCGGCUCUCUCUAAGGCUGAGACACGACGUCGAGCUGCUACGGCAGUGAAGUCAUUGAUGCCAUGCUUCCAGGAAAAGCCUCUAAGCUUCAGAUAGUCAGGAAUCGUACCCCAAACCGACACAGGUGGUCGGGUAGAGAAUACCAAGGCGCUUGAGAGAACUCGGGUGAAGGAACUAGGCAAAAUGGUACCGUAACUUCGGGAGAAGGUACGCUCUUGAUGGUGAAGUCCCUCGCGGAUGGAGCUGACGAGAGUCGCAGAUACCAGGUGGCUGCAACUGUUUAUUAAAAACACAGCACUGUGCAAAAUCGCAAGAUGACGUAUACGGUGUGACGCCUGCCCGGUGCCGGAAGGUUAAUUGAUGGGGUUAGCGCAAGCGAAGCUCUUGAUCGAAGCCCCGGUAAACGGCGGCCGUAACUAUAACGGUCCUAAGGUAGCGAAAUUCCUUGUCGGGUAAGUUCCGACCUGCACGAAUGGCGUAAUGAUGGCCACGCUGUCUCCACCCGAGACUCAGUGAAAUUGAAAUCGCUGUGAAGAUGCAGUGUACCCGCGGCUAGACGGAAAGACCCCGUGAACCUUUACUACAGCUUGGCACUGAACAUUGAACCUACAUGUGUAGGAUAGGUGGGAGGCUAUGAAGACGUGACGCCAGUUGCGUUGGAGCCG
RNAcentral lists this ribosomal RNA (1723 nucleotides) under Vibrio cholerae. RNAcentral's name for it is "partial 23S ribosomal RNA". It matches the Rfam family "Bacterial large subunit ribosomal RNA", at positions 474 to 2188 of the family's 2925-position model. The record is from RNAcentral. Lineage: Bacteria; Pseudomonadati; Pseudomonadota; Gammaproteobacteria; Vibrionales; Vibrionaceae.